CGCCCUUAGAGUUUGAUCAUGGCUCAGGAUGAACGCUGGCGGCGUGCCUAAUACAUGCAAGUCGAACGAAAAGAUGCUUGCAUCUUUGAGUGGCGAACGGGUGAGUAACACGUGAAUAACCUGCCUUAUAGUAGGGGAUAACAUUUGGAAACAGAUGCUAAUACCGUAUAAAACAAUUUUGCAUAAAAUUUGUUAAAAGGCGUUCGCGUCGCUAAAAGAUGGAUUCGCGCUGCAUUAGUUAGUUGGUGAGGUAAAGGCUCACCAAGACGAUGAUGCAUAGCCGAGUUGAGAGACUGGUCGGCCACAUUGGGACUGAGACACGGCCCAAGCUCCUACGGGAGGCUGCAGUAGGGAAUCUUCCACAAUGGGCGAAAGCCUGAUGGAGCAACGCCGCGUGUGUGAUGAAGGCUUUCGGGUCGUAAAGCACUGUUGUAU
Molecule: ribosomal RNA, 435 nt
Filed under: uncultured Leuconostoc sp.
Lineage: Bacteria; Bacillati; Bacillota; Bacilli; Lactobacillales; Lactobacillaceae
Description: bacterial SSU rRNA
Rfam family: Bacterial small subunit ribosomal RNA
Source: RNAcentral